GAUGAAGAACUUAGCGAAAUGCGAUAAGUAAUGUGAAUUGCAGAAUUCAGUGAAUCAUCGAAUCUUUGAACGCACAUUGCGCCCUCUGGUAUUCCGGGGGGCAUGCCUGUUCGAGCGUCAUUAUAACCACUCAAGCUCUCGCUUGGUAUUGGGGUUCGCGGUUCCGCGGCCCCUAAAAUCAGUGGCGGUGCCUGUCGGCUCUACGCGUAGUAAUACUCCUCGCGAUUGAGUCCGGUAGGUCUACUUGCCAGCAACCCCCAAUUUUUACAGGUUGACCUCGGAUCAGGUAGGGAUACCCGCUGAACUUAAGCAUAUCAAUAAGCGGAGGA
This 329-nucleotide unclassified non-coding RNA is filed under the name soil metagenome. Its description in RNAcentral is "partial contains 5.8S ribosomal RNA, internal transcribed spacer 2, and large subunit ribosomal RNA". The stretch from base 1 to 120 matches the Rfam family "5.8S ribosomal RNA", at positions 35 to 154 of the family's 154-position model. The record is from RNAcentral.